Molecule: long non-coding RNA, 234 nt
Organism: Helianthus annuus (common sunflower)
Lineage: Eukaryota; Viridiplantae; Streptophyta; Magnoliopsida; Asterales; Asteraceae
Exons: 2
Source: RefSeq, a predicted model, not a curated record
CUUGAUCAACUGGUAUUUACGUAAUUAAGUCUAACCGAGCAAACCAAAGGUAAUUACUGAAGGAACUUGGGAACUUGUUGUCUGAUGCUGCUGGAGUGGUUAUGGUCAUGAUAAACAUUUAUAUUGAUUGGGUUUUGACACAUUUAUACACUUAUACAUUUAUGCUUCCGCUCAGUACUUUGGUUUUGGUUUAACUUUCAAACGAUACAUUUCUUUCAAUUGGGUAUUUUAUUA